UACGUAGGGGGCUAGCGUUGUCCGGAUUUAUUGGGCGUAAAGAGCGUGUAGGCGGCCAGGUAGGUCUGCUGUGAAAACUCGAGGCUUAACCUCGAGAGGUCGGUGGAAACCAUCUGGCUAGAGUCCGGAAGAGGAGAGUGGAAUUCCUGGUGUAGCGGUGAAAUGCGCAGAUAUCAGGAAGAACACCCGUGGCGAAGGCGGCUCUCUGGGACGGUACUGACGCUGAGACGCGAAAGCGUGGGGAGCGAACAGG
RNAcentral lists this ribosomal RNA (253 nucleotides) under uncultured bacterium. RNAcentral describes it as "partial 16S ribosomal RNA". It matches the Rfam family "Bacterial small subunit ribosomal RNA", at positions 524 to 776 of the family's 1533-position model. The record is from RNAcentral.